RNAcentral lists this ribosomal RNA (502 nucleotides) under Treponema medium. RNAcentral describes it as "bacterial SSU rRNA". It matches the Rfam family "Bacterial small subunit ribosomal RNA", at positions 9 to 495 of the family's 1533-position model. Lineage: Bacteria; Pseudomonadati; Spirochaetota; Spirochaetia; Treponematales; Treponemataceae. The record is from RNAcentral.
GAGUUUGAUUCUGGCUCAGAACGAACGCUGGCGGCGCGUCUUAAGCAUGCAAGUCGAACGGCAAGAGAGGAGCUUGCUUCUCUCCUAGAGUGGCGGACUGGUGAGGAACACGUGGGUAAUCUACCCUUAAGAUGGGGAUAGCUGCUAGAAAUAGCAGGUAAUACCGAAUACACUCAGUGCUUCAUAAGGGGUAUUGAGGAAAGGAAGCUACGGCUUCGCUUGAGGAUGAGCUUGCGUCCCAUUAGCUUGUUGGUGAGGUAACGGCCCACCAAGGUGACGAUGGGUAUCCGGCCUGAGAGGGUGAACGGACACAUUGGGACUGAGAUACGGCCCAAACUCCUACGGGAGGCAGCAGCUAAGAAUAUUCCGCAAUGGACGGAAGUCUGACGGAGCGACGCCGCGUGGAUGAAGAAGGCUGAAAAGUUGUAAAAUCCUUUUGUUGAUGAAGAAUAAGGGUGAGAGGGAAUGCUCAUCUGAUGACGUAAUCGACGAAUAAGCCCCG